Syngnathus acus (greater pipefish) is the source of this 850-nucleotide long non-coding RNA. RefSeq lists it as uncharacterized. The record is from RefSeq and is a predicted model, not a curated record. The transcript is spliced from 6 exons. Lineage: Eukaryota; Metazoa; Chordata; Actinopteri; Syngnathiformes; Syngnathidae.
CACUCGACAGGGGGUAGUGUCGCUCCGCAUGGAACGGUGCCGAGGGCAACUGAGGUGAGGACGAGAGGAGCAGCCUUGGUAGCAAUGCGCUCGUGACCACAUGUGAAAGGCAAACUGGCCUCUCGGGUGGUGUUGCGGUUGGCUGGAUUUAUAAAUGCAUCCGAUGUGAAGACGCAGACGCUGAACAGACGUUUCCUGCGUGACCCGAACGCAUGAGGAGUACCUCAUGAAGAUUUUCCCGCCAGUUGUAUAUCUGCAGCGAGCAAGCCCCACUCUCCACCGCCACCUCCUCCUAAGCUGUUGUACCACUUACAACUGAAUCAGGAUAAUCACACAUGAUCCUAUUAUUAGAGACGCUUCGGAUCAGCCGGACCAGGUGGUCCAAAACAUGCCUGAGGUGGCCAACCUUGCGUACAAUAUGUACAUGCACAUGAUGCAGACCAAGUACAGACAGCAGCAGCAACUCGCCUAGCCUCCGUUGCAAGCCAAGUCAGCAGAGAGCUCGCCUCCCGGCCCCAAGGAAGAGCAAGAGAUGGUGGCCGUGAUCCCGGAGCAGAGCGCCAUGGAGACGGAGAGCCAAGACGGAAGCGAGAAGGUGGAGAAGUCUAAGGGAGAAGCCAGCGAGCGGGAAGCAAAGCAGGAAGCAGCCUAGAUGCCCGAGCAUCCUGGACAGGACAGCGACAGCGAUGAAGAGAAUGAGGAGCACCUAAAGAGAGAAGAGCAAAAACAGAACACUUAGUUGGGACUAAUUGAGAGGACCGAGUGGAUGGCUAUUUACUACCUUGAUUAAACAUGUCAUGCUUAUUGAUUUUUUUGGGUCAUUUUUCAAUAAAGAUAAAUACAAAAAGUU